Bos taurus (domestic cattle) is the source of this 1093-nucleotide long non-coding RNA. The record is from Ensembl. Lineage: Eukaryota; Metazoa; Chordata; Mammalia; Artiodactyla; Bovidae.
AGGAAAUUGAGCUUUGUUUCCUUAACCCCCACCAGGCACAAUUAAGCUCCUGGACGUUACAUAUACAAUCACAAGAAUACAGGCAUGCCUCCUUUUACUGUGCUUCCCAGAUAAUCUGAGUUUUUACAACUUGAAGGUUUGUGGCAACCCGCAUCAGGCAAGCCUAUCAGUGCCAUUUCCCCACUAGCAUUGUUUUUUAAUUGAAGUGUCUACUUUGUUGCAUCAGGCAUAAUGCUCCUGCAGACCUACAGACCACAGUAUAGUGUGAACGUAACUUUGAUAGACACUGGGAGCACAGAAGAGUUUCCGUAACUCACUUUGCUGGGAUAUCUGCUUUGUUGCCGUGGUCUCCAACUGAGCCCACAACAUCUCUGGGGUCUGCCUGUACUCUGAAGAGUGGAGGGAAGGCAGCAGACGGACGAAGAGUGGAGACACAGGUUCAAUCCCUGGUCUGGGAAGAUCCCACGUGCCACGGAGCAACCGAGCCCGGGUGCCGCAACUACAGAGCCUGCGCCUGAGAGCCCGGGGAGCCACAGCUACUGAAGCGCGCGUGCCGGAGAGCCUGUGCUCUCAGCGAGAGAGGCCACCGCGGUGAGAAACCUGCGCACCAUAACUAGAGGGGAGCCCCCGCUCACCACAGCUACAGAGAAGCCCGUGCGGCAACGAAGACCCAGCACAACCAGAAAUAAACAAAGAAUUAAAAAAAAAAAAGGUAUGGAACACUCAGGACAAUCAGACACACUCAGAGAAGCCACACCCUCACAGUAAGGCCAAAUGAACUCUAGAAUAUCCCCAGAGGUUGUUUUUAAGCCUUGAAAGGAUAAGCUGAACUAGUCAUUUUAUCAACCUCCAAAACAUAGUUAGUUUCACUUUAAAGACAGGAAGCAGAAUCUGUAUACUCAACAGCAUAACUUCGGGGACUUCCCUGGCAGUCCAAGGGUUAGGACUCUGUCCUUUCACAGCCAAGGGCGUGAGUUCACUCCCUGCUCGGGAACAAAGUUCCUGCAAGCUGACUGGCUCGAACGAAAAAACGAAAAACGACGUAACUGUCCUAUCACAGAGCGCAUAGGCAGUCAAAAGCAACGCUGCAGUC